This 318-nucleotide ribosomal RNA is filed under the name uncultured bacterium. RNAcentral's name for it is "bacterial SSU rRNA". It matches the Rfam family "Bacterial small subunit ribosomal RNA", at positions 28 to 334 of the family's 1533-position model. The record is from RNAcentral.
GACGAACGCUGGCGGCAUGCCUAAUACAUGCAAGUCGAGCGAAUGAUGAAGAAGCUUGCUUCUUCUGAUUUAGCGGCGGACGGGUGAGUAACACGUGGGCAACCUGCCCUGUAGAUUGGGAUAACUCCGGGAAACCGGGGCUAAUACCGAAUAAUCCAUUUCCUCUCAUGGGGAGAUGUUAAAAGACGGUUUCGGCUGUCACUACAGGAUGGGCCCGCGGCGCAUUAGCUAGUUGGUGAGGUAACGGCUCACCAAGGCGACGAUGCGUAGCCGACCUGAGAGGGUGAUCGGCCACACUGGGACUGAGACGCGGCCCAA